This is a long non-coding RNA of Micropterus salmoides (largemouth bass), 907 nucleotides long. RefSeq lists it as uncharacterized. The record is from RefSeq and is a predicted model, not a curated record. NCBI's taxonomy places the organism in Eukaryota, Metazoa, Chordata, Actinopteri, Centrarchiformes, Centrarchidae. The transcript is spliced from 2 exons.
ACAGAACAGUUGUUAAGCAAGUCUGUAUGUUUGUUAUUUGUUGUAACAUUUUAUCAUAUACAGCUCCUUGGCUGAAUGUACCGUAUUGUUUAUGUAAUGUUUUUGAUUAUGUUGUAAUGGAAGAACUGUGCAUUUACUGGGACAGGUCCCUUGUGGAAAACCAUUUCACCUCAGUGUUUCCCACACAUAGGCUUUACUGGGGCGGAGCUGCCGGAGCUGCCCAGGCAAACUUGGAGACCCAUUUUAAUUGCAGUGCUGCACAGCACAUAUUCACAUCCCUCACUCGGUCGCUCCCUCUCUCUCUCCUGCAUGUACACAACCCAUCUGUGAAUUGAAUGAUGCUGUGUGAUAAAGCAGUUUCCAAAUCCUAUAGUGUCUGCAGUCACAGAAAAUGCAACAAGUCCUACUCAAAGAUACCGACCCUCCACUCCAAGGAUAAGGAUUGUGACAUUUUUCAGUUUCAGUUUGGUUCCACCAUUUGUACUGUAAGCUUGUGACGGAGUACCUUCACUACAGUUGAGUAAGCGCUCGGACUGCCAUACCAACGAGCCUGGCUCUUUGGCCUUGCUGUCAAAGUUGCAUGUUUGGUUCCCUGUAGACCUGUGUUUGAAUCUGGGUAGGGUGACUGCUCUCACCUUUGGCCGCAUAUGGUGUUAGAAGUGGGAUGGCUUGCCGUGAGGUCAUCUGAGCCGUGCCCAGAGUCCGAACCGUAUGAGGGACCACCAUGGGUAACAUUAAUGAUGGGAUGUGUAUAGUGUACUUUUCAGUAAUACUGAUCGUAUGUCAUCAUUUUACUGAUUUUAUUUUUAUUUGAAGGUAUUUUGGUCAAGAUGUGAUACAUGCUGUUGUACCUUUUAAUGCACAGGAAUUUUUGUAAUGUACACAAAAUUAAAGUUUUUUAGUUGUC